This 418-nucleotide ribosomal RNA is filed under the name Troglocharinus kiesenwetteri sanllorensi. Its description in RNAcentral is "SSU rRNA". It matches the Rfam family "Eukaryotic small subunit ribosomal RNA", at positions 203 to 602 of the family's 1831-position model. Lineage: Eukaryota; Metazoa; Arthropoda; Insecta; Coleoptera; Leiodidae. The record is from RNAcentral.
CCUUUAUUAGAUCAAAACCAAUCGGUGGCGCGGCCUCGGUCGUGUCAUCGUACAACAUGGUGAAUCUGAAUAACGUUUGCUGAUCGCACGGUCUCGCACCGGCGACGCAUCUUUCAAAUGUCUGCCUUAUCAACUGUCGAUGGUAGGUUCUGCGCCUACCAUGGUUGUAACGGGUAACGGGGAAUCAGGGUUCGAUUCCGGAGAGGGAGCCUGAGAAACGGCUACCACAUCCAAGGAAGGCAGCAGGCGCGCAAAUUACCCACUCCCGGCACGGGGAGGUAGUGACGAAAAAUAACGAUACGGGACUCAUCCGAGGCCCCGUAAUCGGAAUGAGCACACUUUAAAUCCUUUCACGAGGAUCAAUCGGAGGGCAAGUCAGGUGCCAGCAGCCGCGGUAAUUCCUGCUCCGAUAGCGUAU